RNAcentral lists this ribosomal RNA (497 nucleotides) under uncultured bacterium. RNAcentral describes it as "partial 16S ribosomal RNA". It matches the Rfam family "Bacterial small subunit ribosomal RNA", at positions 28 to 507 of the family's 1533-position model. The record is from RNAcentral.
GACGAACGCUGGCGGCGUGCCUAAUACAUGCAAGUUGAGCGCUGAAGGUUGGUACUUGUACCAACUGGAUGAGCAGCGAACGGGUGAGUAACGCGUGGGGAAUCUGCCUUUGAGCGGGGGACAACAUUUGGAAACGAAUGCUAAUACCGCAUAAAAACUUUAAACACAAGUUUUAAGUUUGAAAGAUGCAAUUGCAUCACUCAAAGAUGAUCCCGCGUUGUAUUAGCUAGUUGGUGAGGUAAAGGCUCACCAAGGCGAUGAUACAUAGCCGACCUGAGAGGGUGAUCGGCCACAUUGGGACUGAGACACGGCCCAAACGCCUACGGGAGGCAGCAGUAGGGAAGCUUCGGCAAUGGACGAAAGUCUGACCGAGCAACGCCGCGGGAGUGAAGAAGGGUUUCGGAUCGUAAAACUCGGUUGGUAGAGAAGAACGUUGGUGAGAGUGGAAAGCUCAUCAAGUGACGGUAACUACCCAGAAAGGGACGGCUAACUACGUG